UACGUAGGUGGCAAGCGUUGUCCGGAUUUACUGGGCGUAAAGAGCGCGCAGGCGGUUGGAUAAGUCGAAUGUGAAAGCCCCCGGCUCAACUGGGGAGGGUCAUUCGAUACUGUCCGACUCGAAGGCAGGAGAGGGAAGCGGAAUUCCCGGUGUAGUGGUGAAAUGCGUAGAUAUCGGGAGGAACACCAGUGGCGAAGGCGGCUUUCUGGCCUGUUCUUGACGCUGAGGCGCGAAAGCUAGGGGAGCAAACGGG
This 253-nucleotide ribosomal RNA is filed under the name uncultured bacterium. RNAcentral's name for it is "partial 16S ribosomal RNA". It matches the Rfam family "Bacterial small subunit ribosomal RNA", at positions 524 to 776 of the family's 1533-position model. The record is from RNAcentral.